RNAcentral lists this ribosomal RNA (1569 nucleotides) under Salmonella enterica subsp. enterica serovar Infantis. Its description in RNAcentral is "partial 23S ribosomal RNA". It matches the Rfam family "Bacterial large subunit ribosomal RNA", at positions 711 to 2179 of the family's 2925-position model. RNAcentral also lists the same sequence under 1 other name. The record is from RNAcentral. Lineage: Bacteria; Pseudomonadati; Pseudomonadota; Gammaproteobacteria; Enterobacterales; Enterobacteriaceae.
AGACCCGAAACCCGGUGAUCUAGCCAUGGGCAGGUUGAAGGUUGGGUAACACUAACUGGAGGACCGAACCGACUAAUGUUGAAAAAUUAGCGGAUGACCUGUGGCUGGGGGUGAAAGGCCAAUCAAACCGGGAGAUAGCUGGUUCUCCCCGAAAGCUAUUUAGGUAGCGCCUCGUGAAUUCAUCUCCGGGGGUAGAGCACUGUUUCGGCUAGGGGGCCAUCCCGGCUUACCAACCCGAUGCAAACUGCGAAUACCGGAGAAUGUUAUCACGGGAGACACACGGCGGGUGCUAACGUCCGUCGUGAAGAGGGAAACAACCCAGACCGCCAGCUAAGGUCCCAAAGUCAUGGUUAAGUGGGAAACGAUGUGGGAAGGCCCAGACAGCCAGGAUGUUGGCUUAGAAGCAGCCAUCAUUUAAAGAAAGCGUAAUAGCUCACUGGUCGAGUCGGCCUGCGCGGAAGAUGUAACGGGGCUAAACCAUGCACCGAAGCUGCGGCAGCGAACGUAUCACUUAAAGCGAUUCAGCGGGUUACGAUUGACGGAGCGAAGCGACGUCAAAGCGUAUACAAAGUCGAGUCGGUUUAAGGAUACGUUCGUUGGGUAGGGGAGCGUUCUGUAAGCCUGCGAAGGUGGCCUGUGAGGGUUGCUGGAGGUAUCAGAAGUGCGAAUGCUGACAUAAGUAACGAUAAAGCGGGUGAAAAGCCCGCUCGCCGGAAGACCAAGGGUUCCUGUCCAACGUUAAUCGGGGCAGGGUGAGUCGACCCCUAAGGCGAGGCCGAAAGGCGUAGUCGAUGGGAAACGGGUUAAUAUUCCCGUACUUGGUGUUACUGCGAAGGGGGGACGGAGAAGGCUAUGUUGGCCGGGCGACGGUUGUCCCGGUUUAAGCGUGUAGGUGUGUGUUCCAGGUAAAUCCGGUUCACUUUAACACUGAGGCGUGACGACGAGGCACUACGGUGCUGAAGCAACAAAUGCCCUGCUUCCAGGAAAAGCCUCUAAGCAUCAGGUAACAUCAAAUCGUACCCCAAACCGACACAGGUGGUCAGGUAGAGAAUACCAAGGCGCUUGAGAGAACUCGGGUGAAGGAACUAGGCAAAAUGGUGCCGUAACUUCGGGAGAAGGCACGCUGACACGUAGGUGAAGUGAUUUACUCACGGAGCUGAAGUCAGUCGAAGAUACCAGCUGGCUGCAACUGUUUAUUAAAAACACAGCACUGUGCAAACACGAAAGUGGACGUAUACGGUGUGACGCCUGCCCGGUGCCGGAAGGUUAAUUGAUGGGGUCAGCGCAAGCGAAGCUCCUGAUCGAAGCCCCGGUAAACGGCGGCCGUAACUAUAACGGUCCUAAGGUAGCGAAAUUCCUUGUCGGGUAAGUUCCGACCUGCACGAAUGGCGUAAUGAUGGCCAGGCUGUCUCCACCCGAGACUCAGUGAAAUUGAACUCGCUGUGAAGAUGCAGUGUACCCGCGGCAAGACGGAAAGACCCCGUGAACCUUUACUAUAGCUUGACACUGAACAUUGAGCCUUGAUGUGUAGGAUAGGUGGGAGGCUUUGAAGUGUGGACGCCAGUCUGC